CCUGAUUACUUUGGAAGAAUUAUUAUCUGACAUGAUGAUACAAGGCCCAGAAUACAUGGGUGGAUGCGUCCACAUUCAUCAUGGAGGUUGGAGUCGAGAUCAUGUGGGCCUCAUAGCAAAACAGUUACUCUUUUGCUGACUUACACACACCACUCUGCCCCUCAAGAGCUAGAAGAACAAGUGGGAGCGGCGUCACUAAUACAUGGAGAUACUGAGUAAGAACCCUUAUACCACCAGUGACUGACACAAUAUCUUGUAAUCUUAAUUCGAUUCUCCAAUUACCGAGGUUGUAUAGUGACAAUGCAU
RNAcentral lists this long non-coding RNA (306 nucleotides) under Hordeum vulgare. RNAcentral's name for it is "long non-coding RNA (HVUL_LNC017069)". Lineage: Eukaryota; Viridiplantae; Streptophyta; Magnoliopsida; Poales; Poaceae. The record is from RNAcentral.